This 468-nucleotide ribosomal RNA is filed under the name uncultured bacterium. RNAcentral's name for it is "partial 16S ribosomal RNA". It matches the Rfam family "Bacterial small subunit ribosomal RNA", at positions 28 to 507 of the family's 1533-position model. The record is from RNAcentral.
GACGAACGCUGGCGGCGUGCUUAACACAUGCAAGUCGAACGGAAAGGCCCUGCUUUUGUGGGGUGCUCGAGUGGCGAACGGGUGAGUAACACGUGAGUAACCUGCCCUUGACUUUGGGAUAACUUCAGGAAACUGGGGCUAAUACCGGAUAGGAGCUCCUGCUGCAUGGUGGGGGUUGGAAAGUUUCGGCGGUUGGGGAUGGACUCGCGGCUUAUCAGCUUGUUGGUGGGGUAGUGGCUUACCAAGGCUUUGACGGGUAGCCGGCCUGAGAGGGUGACCGGCCACCUUGGGACUGAGAUACGGACCAGAAUCCUACGGGAGGCAGCAGGGGGGAAUAUUGCACAAUGGGGGGGAGCCUGAUGCAGCAACGCCGCGUGCGGGAUGACGGCCUUCGGGUUGUAAACCGCUUUCGCCUGUGACGAAGCGUGAGUGACGGUAAUGGGUAAAGAAGCACCGGCUAACUACGUG